ACGGAGGGGGCCAGCGUUGUUCGGAAUCAUUGGGCGUAAAGGGCGCGUAGGCGGCCGAUCAAGUCGGAGGUGAAAUCCCUCGGCUCAACUGAGGAACUGCCUCCGAUACUGUUCGGCUUGAGAGCGGGAGAGGAUGGUGGAAUUCCCAGUGUAGAGGUGAAAUUCGUAGAUAUUGGGAAGAGCACCGGUGGCGAAGGCGACCACCUGGCCAAAUACUGACGCUGAGGUGCGAAAGCGUGGGGAGCAAACA
Molecule: ribosomal RNA, 250 nt
Filed under: uncultured bacterium
Lineage: Bacteria
Description: partial 16S ribosomal RNA
Rfam family: Bacterial small subunit ribosomal RNA
Source: RNAcentral